CCAACAGCAGGCUCACAGUCUAGAAGGGGGAACUCUCGUGACGUACAGUCCCGUUCUGCGCUGUUGGAGACCAAGCCAAGCCUCAUGUCUGUGCCUGCAUAUUCCUACUGCCUCUCUGAGCCCCAGGGCCAUGACAGAGGAGAGAAACCAUGCAGGAUACAGGC
Tachyglossus aculeatus (Australian echidna) is the source of this 164-nucleotide small nucleolar RNA. RefSeq annotates it as small nucleolar RNA SNORA73 family. NCBI's taxonomy places the organism in Eukaryota, Metazoa, Chordata, Mammalia, Monotremata, Tachyglossidae. The transcript has a single exon. The record is from RefSeq and is a predicted model, not a curated record.